This 73-nucleotide transfer RNA is filed under the name Stegodyphus mimosarum. It matches the Rfam family "tRNA". From Rfam's summary of the family: Transfer RNA (tRNA) molecules are approximately 80 nucleotides in length. Their secondary structure includes four short double-helical elements and three loops (D, anti-codon, and T loops). The record is from Rfam by way of RNAcentral. Lineage: Eukaryota; Metazoa; Arthropoda; Arachnida; Araneae; Eresidae.
GCCUUCGUGGUGUAGCGGUCAGCACGCUCGACGCGUAACCGAGAGGUCCGUGGUUCGAUUCUCGGAGAGGGCA